AGACACAGCAGGAACAGCACUCCUGCAGCAGAGGGAUUGCAGCAACCCCUGACAUUGGUCCUGCCUAAAAGUUCCAAGAACAAUACCAACCGGCUUUUUUGCGACUUUGAAGGAACCAAAACGCAGACGCACAGCAUAAACCCAGCUCACCUUUACAUCCACAUCGCUGCCCGUUCAAAUCAUCGUGCCGUUAUCCAGACCCGCUCUUUUGGGGGCGACCGGGUCCUGUUUCACGAGUCUUUCAAAAGCAACUUGGGGCUUUUCGCAGCAAAGUGCAUCGUUUUCAACCCUCUGAGCAAUCCACGGAGAGGUGCCGGAGCAGAAUUGUUCACCUGAAGCUCGGGUUACAUGUGACCGUGGGAGGGGUCGUCCUGCGAGUAAACACGAAACACAAAACAGCAGCCAAUACAGCGACUAUGCGAGAGUGGAUGAUGCCAAGAGGAGGAGACAGGGCACCCUGCAAGGAGAAGGAGAGGGAGAAGGUGCGGCAGAGGCAGAGAGGACAGCAUCAGCACCACACACUCUGCAAAUCCACUGUUUUAUAGCCUAAUUUAUCAGAAGCAUGUCUUUUGUCCUGUUUUCUUCCCGUGAGCAGAUGGCUCCAUGAGUUUGGUUCUGCUGGAGGUUUCUUCUUGAUAAAAGGGAGUUUUUCCUUUCUACUGUUGCCAACUACUUGCU
This is a long non-coding RNA of Haplochromis burtoni (Burton's mouthbrooder), 678 nucleotides long. RefSeq lists it as uncharacterized. The transcript is spliced from 3 exons. The record is from RefSeq and is a predicted model, not a curated record. Lineage: Eukaryota; Metazoa; Chordata; Actinopteri; Cichliformes; Cichlidae.